AGCCAUACUGUGAGUCCAAGCUAUGUCAUUGGCUCGCAAACCCAUCAACCUGACUGACCACUUGACAGUAGGAUCAAGAAAAGCAAAGGCACCUCUGGAAGGCAGAUACCCCAUGAACCAUUUGUACAACAGCUGAGCACAACAUCGGAUCAAUCCCCCACGCCGCUUCUCGUUCCGAUUAUGGACCGAGUAAUAUACAUCCCCAACCAGAGUAGGAAUGGGAUUCCUCUGCAUAAAC
RNAcentral lists this long non-coding RNA (238 nucleotides) under Lathyrus oleraceus (garden pea). RNAcentral describes it as "Pisum sativum (pea) long non-coding RNA (PSAT_LNC015874)". The record is from RNAcentral. Lineage: Eukaryota; Viridiplantae; Streptophyta; Magnoliopsida; Fabales; Fabaceae.